CGUGAUCUACCCUGUAGAUCCGGGCUUUCGUAAAAAACAAAUCGAAAGCUCGUCUCUACAGGUAUAUCACGG
This 72-nucleotide microRNA precursor is filed under the name Bombyx mori (domestic silkworm). Its description in RNAcentral is "mir-10 microRNA precursor family". It matches the Rfam family "mir-10 microRNA precursor family". From Rfam's summary of the family: In this case the mature sequence comes from the 5' arm of the precursor. The extents of the hairpin precursors are not generally known and are estimated based on hairpin prediction. Lineage: Eukaryota; Metazoa; Arthropoda; Insecta; Lepidoptera; Bombycidae. The record is from Rfam by way of RNAcentral.